This 59-nucleotide microRNA precursor is filed under the name Lottia gigantea (owl limpet). Its description in RNAcentral is "Lgi-Mir-22-P2_pre stem-loop". The record is from RNAcentral. Lineage: Eukaryota; Metazoa; Mollusca; Gastropoda; Lottiidae.
AGCUCUUCAUUGGGUCAGCUAUCGUAAUUUAGAAAGAGAGCUGCCAAAUGAAGGGCUGU